This 253-nucleotide ribosomal RNA is filed under the name uncultured bacterium. RNAcentral's name for it is "partial 16S ribosomal RNA". It matches the Rfam family "Bacterial small subunit ribosomal RNA", at positions 524 to 776 of the family's 1533-position model. The record is from RNAcentral.
UACAGAGGUCCCAAGCGUUGUUCGGAUUCACUGGGCGUAAAGGGUGCGUAGGCGGUCGGGUAAGUCUGAUGUGAAAUCUCACAGCUUAACUGUGAAACUGCAUUGGAUACUAUCCGGCUCGAGGAAUGGAGGGGAGACUGGAAUUUCCGGUGUAGCGGUGAAAUGCGUAGAUAUCGGAAGGAACACCAGUGGCGAAAGCGGCUUCCUGGUCCGACACCGACGUUCAGGCACGAAAGCGUGGGGAGCAAACAGG